RNAcentral lists this ribosomal RNA (341 nucleotides) under uncultured bacterium. RNAcentral describes it as "bacterial SSU rRNA". It matches the Rfam family "Bacterial small subunit ribosomal RNA", at positions 28 to 369 of the family's 1533-position model. The record is from RNAcentral.
GACGAACGCUGGCGGCGUGCCUAACACAUGCAAGUCGAGCGGUAAGGCCCUUUCGGGGGUACACGAGCGGCGAACGGGUGAGUAACACGUGGGUGACCUGCCCUUAGCUCUGGGAUAAGCCUGGGAAACUGGGUCUAAUACCGGAUAUGACUCCAUAACGCAUGUUGUGGGGUGGAAAGCCUUGUGCGGCUAGGGAUGGGCCCGCGGCCUAUCAGCUUGUUGGGUGGGGUGAUGGCCACCGAAGGCGACGACGGGUAGCCGGCCUGAGAGGGCGACCGGCCACACUGGGACUGAGACACGGCCCAGACUCCUACGGGAGGCAGCAGUGGGGAAUCUUGCGC